ACGGAAGGCAGCAGUGGGGAAUAUUGGGCAAUGGGCGAAAGCCUGACCCAGCAACGCCGCGUGAAGGAAGAAGGUCUUCGGAUUGUAAACUUCUUUUAUGAGGGACGAAGGACGUGACGGUACCUCAUGAAUAAGCCACGGCUAACUACGUGCCAGCAGCCGCGGUAAUACGUAGGUGGCAAGCGUUAUCCGGAUUUACUGGGUGUAAAGGGAGCGUAGGUGGCCAUGCAAGUCAGAUGUGAAAUCCCGGGGCUCAACCCCGGAGCUGCAUUUGAAACUGCGUAGCUAGAGUGCAGGAGAGGUAAGCGGAAUUCCUAGUGUAGCGGUGAAAUGCGUAGAUAUUAGGAGGAACACCAGUGGCGAAAGCGGCUUGCUGGACUGCAACUGACACUGAGGCUCGAAAGCGUGGGGAGCAAACAGGAUUAGAUACCCUGGUA
The sequence is a ribosomal RNA, 437 nucleotides long. It matches the Rfam family "Bacterial small subunit ribosomal RNA", at positions 341 to 792 of the family's 1533-position model.